Molecule: ribosomal RNA, 449 nt
Filed under: uncultured bacterium
Lineage: Bacteria
Description: partial 16S ribosomal RNA
Rfam family: Bacterial small subunit ribosomal RNA
Source: RNAcentral
GUCGAGAAUCUUUCACAAUGGGGGCAACCCUGAUGGAGCGACGCCGCGUGGAGGAUAAGGUCUUCGGAUUGUAAACUCCUGUCAUGCGUGAACAAGGUUGCUUGGAUAAUACCUGAGCAAAUUGAUGGUAGCGCAAGAGGAAGAGACGGCUAACUCUGUGCCAGCAGCCGCGGUAAUACAGAGGUCUCAAGCGUUGUUCGGAAUCACUGGGCGUAAAGGGUGCGUAGGUGGCGUGGCAAGUCAGAUGUGAAAGCGCGGGGCUCAACCUCGGAACUGCAUCCGAUACUGCCAUGCUAGAGUACUGGAGGGGUGACUAGAAUUCUCGGUGUAGCAGUGAAAUGCGUAGAUAUCGAGAGGAAUACCAAAGGCGUAGGCAGGUCACUGGACAGUUACUGACACUGAGGCACGAAGGCCAGGGGAGCGAACGGGAUUAGAUACCCUUGUAGUCC